Molecule: unclassified non-coding RNA, 961 nt
Filed under: Hevea brasiliensis (rubber tree)
Lineage: Eukaryota; Viridiplantae; Streptophyta; Magnoliopsida; Malpighiales; Euphorbiaceae
Source: RNAcentral
GGAUUUUAUUAUCUGUUGGUUUUUUGGAGCUUAAUUCUGCAGUACUGGUGUUAAAUUGAAGCUUUCUUGGUGGUACUUCAAUACUGUAUAGUAUCUAGUUUAUUCAAGUUGAGUGUGGAGACAAUUAGUGCUUGAGCUGGGAUUUCUAUUAAGUUCUGAAUUUUGUUUUGCGGGGCUUUUGGAUGGUUUGACUGGUUGGUUUUCUGAAAAAUUGGUGUUUUGGGUUUUUUUUUUGGAGUGAGCUUAUAUUGGGUUAUCAAGUAUGGAUAACUCAAAAAACAGGCAGCAGAAUGAUCAUUUGGGUGUCAACAAGAUGGGCAAGAAUAUAAGGAAAAGCCCGUUGCACCAACCCAAUUUUGCUAACAAUGCCAAUAGGCAACAACCUCAGCCUCAAGUCUACAACAUAAGCAAGAACGAUUUUAGGAAUAUUGUUCAGCAACUAACUGGUUCUCCAUCGCAAGAGCCUUUGCCUAGACCUCCACAAAAUCCACCCAAACCCCAAAGUAUGCGGUUGCAGAAGAUUAGACCACCCCCUUUAACUCCCAUCAAUCGGCCCCAUAUUCCCCCUCCUGUGCCGGCUCCAGCACUGGCAUCACCCCCAGUUCCUUUUAACAAUGGCUUUGUUAGGCCUGGCCCAUUUGGACACCCAGCUCCAACAGCGUCUGGGGACUAUGCUUGGGCAAAUACAGCCGAGUCUCCAAUCUCAGCUUACAUGCGAUAUCUUCAAACUUCAAUAAUGGAUCCUAGUCCGAGGACGAACUUAGCUCAACCACCAUUACAACAACAGCAAGCACAAGGUCCAGGGCAAAUUCAGCCUCAGCAAUAUUCUGGUUUACUUCCUAAUCCACAUGUGCCUGCACUACCGUCACCAAGAUUAAAUGGUCCCGUUCCCCCUGUGCCUAAUCUCCUCUCCCAACAAAUGAGUGGCCCUGCCCUUUUACCUUCACCCACAUCUCAAUUC